This is a long non-coding RNA of Mugil cephalus (flathead mullet), 503 nucleotides long. RefSeq lists it as uncharacterized. The record is from RefSeq and is a predicted model, not a curated record. Lineage: Eukaryota; Metazoa; Chordata; Actinopteri; Mugiliformes; Mugilidae. The transcript is spliced from 3 exons.
CAGGUAUCCCAACACACUGCUGUCUGAUACAUUGUGACACCUCUGAUCUCACAUCAUGAAGGAAACCUGAUGAGUACACGAAGAGACAGAGAGACACCGAGUGUAACUCAAACUGUGUUGGCGUAGCUGCGGAAGAGAGGCUGGUUAACCAGACGAGCCUGGAAGUGGGUCAGAGGGAUGAUGAGACAUCAGAAUCCAGACCUCAACCCCAUUGAGAAUCUUUGAGAUGUGCUGAAGGCUUUUAGUGGGCAGGCUCUCCCAUCGCCAAUACAAGAUGUAUCACACUGGAUGGAAAUAAAUCUUGUGACACCGCAGAAGCUUAUCGAAACAAUGCCACAGUGGGUGCGCGCCGUAAUCAAAGCUAAAGGCGGUCCAACGAAAUAUUGAUUGUGUGAUUUAUUUUUUUGGCUACGCAGUGUAUUUGAUCUCAAUGGGCCAACCCGGUUAAAUAAAGACAUACGUAAAAAAUGAUUAAUAAAAUAACGGAUGAAUGGAUGAUAAUA